GCCAGCCAUGGAGGCGUGGACCUGUAGUCCCAGCUACUCUGGAGGCUGAAGCAGGAGGAUUGCUUGAGCCUAGGAGUUCUGGGCUAUAGUGCAUUAUGCUGAUCGGGUGUCUGCAGUAAGUUCAAUAUCAAUAUGGCGAUAUCCUGGGAGAAGGGGAGCACUGGGUUGCCUAAGGAGAGGUGAACUGGCUCAGAUUGGAAACUGAGAAAGCCCAGACUCCUGAGGUGAUCAUUAGUAGGACAUUGCCUGUGAAAAGCCACUGUACUCCAGCAUGGGCAACACAGUGAGAUUUUUUUUUCU
This is an unclassified non-coding RNA of Cercocebus atys (sooty mangabey), 300 nucleotides long. It matches the Rfam family "Metazoan signal recognition particle RNA". Rfam says of the family: The signal recognition particle (SRP) is a universally conserved ribonucleoprotein. It is involved in the co-translational targeting of proteins to membranes. The eukaryotic SRP consists of a 300-nucleotide 7S RNA and six proteins: SRPs 72, 68, 54, 19, 14, and 9. The record is from Ensembl. Lineage: Eukaryota; Metazoa; Chordata; Mammalia; Primates; Cercopithecidae.